This 100-nucleotide microRNA precursor is filed under the name Marmota monax (woodchuck). The record is from RNAcentral. Lineage: Eukaryota; Metazoa; Chordata; Mammalia; Rodentia; Sciuridae.
AAUGGGAUGGCUAGGUCAUAUGGUUCCAUUCCUAGUUUUCUGAGGAAUUUCCAUAUUGCUUUCCAGAGUGGUAGUACUUAUUUGUAGUCCUACCAACAAU